AAUGGAACCAUCAACUUCUUUAAGAAAAAAAGAAAGAAAUAAAGGAGACUCUUAGGUUAUCCCCAACGGAGGUUCUUAGAGAGGUUUUAGUGGAGAAAAAAAAAAUCAGAUUAUACAAAAAAAUUUAAGUGAGGCUCUUAUAUUACAUAUUCUUUUAUGGUUUAAGAGCUUGUACGUGUCGAGUGUUCGUUGGCUGGACAAAAAAAUAGAAGAACCAAAAAAACAUUUGUUUCACACGAUUAAUUUUUUUUCUCUCUUGAUCUCUCUCUCAAUUGUUUCUCUCUCGAUCGAAAUCCAGUCUUGAUAAAAGGAAAGAGAAGGAUAUGUUUCAGCUGUGUAAUCAGAGGCGAUUGUGGUAGGAGGAGAGACGAAGCCGAAGGGGUUUAAUCUCGGAGGCGAAUCGGAGGAUAUUGAUUUGAGUUUGGAAUCGGGUCAUUCAGAUGAGGUUGAAGCAACUAGAAUCGAAGGAGGCAAACGGAAAGAGUAAAGAGAGAUAAAGCUCAAACAAGAAGAAUGGAUGAUGCAGCUCCGACAGUUCAACCACAUGGCUAAAGAAGUUGUUGCUGCUGUUCAGAAAUCUGCUAUUGAUGCUAGGAGAAACAUUGUUCAAGUUCCUAUGACCAAGUACUCCACUUUCCCCACAGGUGGGAAUUCUUCAUCAGAGGCUUCGUUUUCCAGUAUAGAGCCGAGAGUUUUCCUCAAUAUGCUGAAAGUUUUGUCAUCCUACACCCAGAGAAUUUGCGUUUCAGUCAUACAACAAGAUCAAAGAGAGAGAGAGAGUAAUGUAAAUGUAAGGAUUUUAUUUACCUAAGAGACUCAAAAUAAAAACCUACCAAUUGGGGGGAAAACUUUUAAUUAACAAACUCAAAAUUCUUAAUCAUCUCAAACUACUAAAUAUAUAAAUAAACUAUUUAAGAGCCCC
Molecule: long non-coding RNA, 922 nt
Organism: Camelina sativa (false flax)
Lineage: Eukaryota; Viridiplantae; Streptophyta; Magnoliopsida; Brassicales; Brassicaceae
Source: RefSeq, a predicted model, not a curated record